GGACCCGCACAAGCGGUGGAUGAUGUGGUUUAAUUCGAUGCAACGCGAAAAACCUUACCUACCCUUGACAUGCCUGGAAUUCUGCAGAGAUGUGGAAGUGCCCGAAAGGGAGCCAGGACACAGGUGCUGCAUGGCCGUCGUCAGCUCGUGUCGUGAGAUGUUGGGUUAAGUCCCGCAACGAGCGCAACCCUUGUCAUUAGUUGCUACGAAAGGGCACUCUAAUGAGACUGCCGGUGACAAACCGGAGGAAGGUGGGGAUGACGUCAGGUCCUCAUGGCCCUUAUGGGUAGGGCUACACACGUCAUACAAUGGCCGGUACAGAGGGUUGCCAACCCGCGAGGGGGAGCCAAUCCCAGAAAACCGGUCGUAGUCCGGAUCGCAGUCUGCAACUCGACUGCGUGAAGUCGGAAUCGCUAGUAAUCGCGGAUCAGCUUGCCGCGGUGAAUACGUUCCCGGGUCUU
This 461-nucleotide ribosomal RNA is filed under the name uncultured bacterium. Its description in RNAcentral is "bacterial SSU rRNA". It matches the Rfam family "Bacterial small subunit ribosomal RNA", at positions 917 to 1382 of the family's 1533-position model. The record is from RNAcentral.